This 85-nucleotide transfer RNA is filed under the name Felis catus (domestic cat). It matches the Rfam family "tRNA". Rfam says of the family: Transfer RNA (tRNA) molecules are approximately 80 nucleotides in length. Lineage: Eukaryota; Metazoa; Chordata; Mammalia; Carnivora; Felidae. The record is from Rfam by way of RNAcentral.
GCCUGGGUGGCUCAGUUGGUUGAGCGCCUGGCUUCGGCUCAGGUCAUGAUCUCACAGUCCGUGAGUUCGAGCCCCACAUUGGGCU